This 272-nucleotide long non-coding RNA is filed under the name Mytilus galloprovincialis (Mediterranean mussel). Lineage: Eukaryota; Metazoa; Mollusca; Bivalvia; Mytilida; Mytilidae. The record is from RNAcentral.
UGGGUAGCAUAUUCAUUUUCACCAUGUCUUGGGCAAUUUUAUUUAUUUUCAAUUAUUACCAGGCCAGAUUAUUCAUAUACAUAAUCCACUCUGCAUAAUUAGAUUUAGAAUAGAGUUUCAAACGUGGAACUGAAAUAUCGAACUGAGGAAAGGGACAAUAAGUUAUUAAUUUCGUUUUAAAUGACACACUUUUUGGUUCCUGUUUUCUUAGAUUUUCUUCUUUCUUUCGGAUGCAGGAUCAGACUCCUAGGUAGGACUGUUAAACUUCCCGG